UCCAGACUCCUACGGGAGGCAGCAGUGAGGAAUAUUGGUCAAUGGGCGGGAGCCUGAACCAGCCAAGUCGCGUGAGGGAAGAAGGUACUGAGUAUUGUAAACCUCUUUUGCCAGGGGACAAAGGCGGCCACGGGUGGCCGUAAGAGGGUACCUGGAGAAAAAGCAUCGGCUAACUCCGUGCCAGCAGCCGCGGUAAUACGUAGGGGGCAAGCGUUAUCCGGAUUUACUGGGUGUAAAGGGAGCGUAGGCGGCGCUGCAAGUCCGGAGUGAAAGCCCAUGGCUUAACCAUGGUACUGCUCUGGAAACUGUGGAGCUUGAGUGCGGGAGGGGCAGGCGGAAUUCCUAGUGUAGCGGUGAAAUGCGUAGAUAUUAGGAGGAACACCAGUGGCGAAGGCGGCUUGCUGGACUGUAAAUGACGCUGAGGCUCGAAAGCGUGGGGAGCAAACAGGAUUAGAUACCCGAGUA
Molecule: ribosomal RNA, 465 nt
Filed under: uncultured bacterium
Lineage: Bacteria
Description: bacterial SSU rRNA
Rfam family: Bacterial small subunit ribosomal RNA
Source: RNAcentral